This 5575-nucleotide long non-coding RNA is filed under the name Taeniopygia guttata (zebra finch). RNAcentral's name for it is "lncRNA (ENSTGUG00000020032.1)". Lineage: Eukaryota; Metazoa; Chordata; Aves; Passeriformes; Estrildidae. The record is from RNAcentral.
UUUUUCUAUGAGCACUGCCCCAACACUCAAGCAGGGAUGCAGGCCACUGCUGAAUAAAUGAAAUGAACUAGAGCACGUUCACUGUGGUGCAGUGUUUGUUGUGAGCCUCUCUUUUAGGGAUGAAGAACAGAGUGGUACUUACACAGUAUGGUACAUUCAAGGACAGAGAGAACCUAAAGAUGUUCCAAGGAUCAGUGUCUUUUUUUGUUAUUUCUAGAGAGGAGUGAUUUUUAUCCAAAUAAAAACCAGCUAAAAAUUGUACCUGUUUCCUGUACAAGCUGCCUGUGUUUUCUCUCAUGGUAAGGUCGCAGCCUGGGAUGAUUGCUUCCCAUAGAAUCCACGUCUCCCACAUGCCAGCAGUCUUGGCUUUAGAUGGUGUUUGCAUCUAUUUAUUUGAAACCCCCCACAAUGCUGUGCUGGGAGCGUCUGUGUGCAUAUUGUGGGCCCAGCUGAUGCUGUUCUGGGACCAUGCCUAUGGAACAGUGUGUUUUCUGGGUUGUAUCAUUGUAAAAUUGACAAUUCCACAAAUCAUGCCGCUGUCUGACAGCUUAGUCCUCAGCAGCAGUUAACUAAACUAACAUCCUAAUAGAUGUUUCUCUCAGAGUCCUGUUUAGGUGCUUUUGUGGGUGGUACUUUAUGAAUGUUUUUGUAAGGCUUUAAAAAGUAUUUAGGAUGACUUUUUCAAUUGCAGUCUUUUAAUCGUCUGAUGAACCGAAAAUGAAUAGGAAAAUGAUGAACAGAAAAAUGAUGGCACUUGAAAAAUAAGCUGUGUCAAACUGAUUUUAUAUUAAAUGUUAAACAUUUUUUCUUGCAUAAAACUUUUGAAUUCAAAUACCAUGGUUUUGCAUUGUUAAUGAUUACAAAGAGGUAAUUACGAUUUCUUAGCCGAUUCUGAGAAUUUCUGUGAUGUUUUUGUGAGUGGUUUUGACAGUUUUAAUAAUUACUUUCUAAGGAACAUGAGGGAUGCAGGAUUCUGAGAAAGCAGAAGGAUCUGACCUCUGAAGAGGUCUUCUUCACUUUGAGGAGGAGAAUACUACUACUGGAAGUCUGUCCUUAAUAGGAAUUCUAGCUCAGGCGACCGCUUGGUAUGGGGGAGGAGGAGGGAACUGGCAGUAAUAACAAAGAUGUUAAUAUCUCUAGCGUGGAAGAACUCCCUGUAAUGAGUGUGGCAGUAUAUACUGAAAUGCCUGUUCCACCCACGAAGACAAACGGGAAGAAAUCACAGUGUGCUUCAGGCAAGAAAACGAAGCCAUCAAAUCUGUUGUGCUACAGAAUUUUUAUUUUCAGCACCACAUACGGGUCUGGUGCAAACAAUGAGCUUUCACACAGGGGUGAGCUCCCAAAUGGGGGAGAUCACUUAGGGAAGAGAGAAUGUCCAGCAUGAAGAGCACAGGAUCCCUAGGAAACAAGCAAGCUGUGACCAGAAUAUGAGUGGAAUUACUGUCUGAGUAAUGUGGAUACAUCUAUGCCUCCCUUAGCCACCAACUGCUGCCACAAAGUGCACAACUUCUUGCUCCACCGGCACCAGAUCUGGUUUAAGUCAUUUGGUCUCUACUCCCACCUUCUCCCUGAGAGCCUGAAUUAAUACAGUUGUGCUAAGUAAGUGUUCACAUGGCUGUACUCUUAAGAUCCAUGAGAUGAUCCAUGAUUUUUAAAUGACAGACUUCUCAGAAUUCAUUCCAAACUCGAUUAGUCCAAUCUAGACCACAGGUUCAUGAGGAGCAGGGUAUGUACCACUGAGAGGCUUGGAGUCAGAGAAAAGACAGGCCGAAAAAAAGGAAAGAAAUAAUGUGGCCAGUAUUGCUGUUUGUUCCCAAAAAAGACAUAAUUUAAGAGGUUUGCUGCUUUUCUUAAUCUUUUUUUUUAAAGUUUCUAAGAAGGGCUAGACCUGAAAAGGCCUGACACAUAGCCUUUGUUGUUUCUGCAUUCCCAGCCCCAUCAGAGAGUCCAUUGCCACCAGAGGAUGGAAACUACUAUUCAUUUUGGUGGUGUCCUUGCUGCACGUGCUGUUACCAAAGCAUUUAUUUAUUCUGAAUAGUAAUUCUGCCCCCAUAAAGUGGCCGAAAAGAUGUAUUUUGCCUCAGAGUUGGAGUUGCAGCCAAUUGUGUACAUUUGCGGAAUGGACAAAGCAAGGCCAGGGACGUGACAUUUACAGAGUAAAAGGUGCCAGGAGCACAGAAGCCAAGCGGUAUUAACCCAGGUGAACUCUUCUGCUCUAAUACUGUUUCUGUUAGUUUUUCAAACUAGGCUCAUGGAGAGCCUGCUGAUGGGCAUUACCUGCACCCAGUAAGUCCUCACAUGGGCACUGAUGCUGUGCCCUCACUCUCCACUCCUGCCAUGACAAGCCAGGGCACUUUGUGCUCUCUCUGUUCCGUCAUUACAAAUCCUCUGGUUCAGAGCCCAUAGCACGCAGUUCAGCUUCAUUACAUGGUUAAUUCAGGUUCCCUUAGCUGGGAGCCAGGCAGAGUGGGAGAACUAUGAAUAUCAGAGGACAUUUUCUUAUUCUCUCCUAGUCAUUCAUUGAGGUACAAGAAGAACAGGCCAUUUUGGGAUCAGCCUCUUUCUAGAGAUGGCAAACAAAACUGCUGUGAGGAUUUGGCCUGACUGCAUGACUUCUCAGAGAGCUGGUUGUCAUGUUCUAAAAAUGCCAGGUUGCCACCUAACUAGUUGUGGCCUGGACAAUAUGUUGGUUUUGGUACAUCUCAUGCCCUGGUCUUCUAGACUUGUAGCUCUUGCUGCAAGUGCCCCCAUGGACAGCCUUGUUCAUCUGGCAGUGAGAGUGAUUGAAUGUGGGCUGUGGCAAACAAUUUUACUCCAGAAUAUACUAUAUAUAGAGAAUAUAUAUACUAUAGUACGCUAAUACCUUAUGCAGAGCAGAUGGGCAGGGACAGCACCCAGGUUCACUCCCUGGGGCUGUACUACACAUGGGUGAAACAACAUAAGAGUCCCAAUCAGCUGAGUAAGAUGAUCGAUGCUCAUGCAGCAUUUUUGUGUUGCCACUUGAUGUGCUGAAGUACACCAGUGUGUUACCCUUCCCUUUGCUUGAAUUUAGUGUUAACCUGCAGGCAGCUGUUUUCUUUUUCCAGACUCUUCCCCGCUGGCUGCUUCACAAACACCAGUGUUCUCCCUCGCUCACCUAAACAGUUUAUCCGGUAUUUAGAACAUUAUUCUUUUUGUUUUCCCAUUAAUCUGAACUAGUUUAAUCAUGAAAUCAAGUGUAAUUUAGAUGCUCAAACAGGAAAUCAGUUAAGCUUAGCUGCAAGGGCAGCUUUUACAUUGAUUUUCUUGCAAGUAAGGUUGAGCUUUUCACAGAAGUGUGUGGAUCUCAGAUGUUCCCAGUAAUACUUGGGAUGCUAUCCACACUCUGCCUUUCAAAGGUCUUUGAAGUAUACAAAAUUAGGCUUCUGCUCUUCAAACACAUUUUAAAAUAUGUUCUCUGCAUGCUGCACAUGCUUGAGUGUUGAACUUUUAUAUAGAAUUAUAACUCUUGAAAUCCUCUAAAUCCCCUUGUUUUUGGGAGCUCUGUAACUCCAGGCUCAUUGAUAUGAUGAGGGAAGUUGGGAAUUGUUUCAUCUACAAUGCAGCAUCUUCUCUUAAUUAAGAAGUGUCUCUCAUCAGGAUGACAGGCUGUCCAUGGAGACCUCUUGAUUACAGAGCUCUGCUACAGUAACUUUCCUUUUACAGCUAUUCACAAGAACCAGCCUAGGUUGCAUUUUAUUGAAACUGGGGAGAGAAAUUUUUCAUUCAGGCGCCAUACUGGCCUGAACAGAAGGCAACCUCAGAUCCCUCUUCUGAGAAGCAAAGACAAAAACUUUUUUUAUAUAUAAAUAUAUAUUUCUAUUUAAAUAGGGGAAAAAAAAUAAAAAAAACACCCAAACUCCAAACACAUUUCAUCAUUUCCCUCCCCCAGUACUAAUUAAAACAUACCUUAGGCUCAGAGGCUGCUACCCACACAAGUUCUUUCACUCUGUCCAUGGGGUGAAGGCCUUUCAGUGCAUGGGACCAAGUGCUGUCCAAGCCUUGGCAGCUCAGCUCCACAAAGAUCCAGUUCCAAGUUGCAUCAGCUGGUUCUGGCUGCCAGGGUUGCACAUUGCUGUCUCUUGUAAAUUGGCUGCACUGGGAUGUUGUGUGCACUGUGAUUUUACCAAUUUGAGUCUUUUUACUCUCUCAGAAAUCCUGAGCACUUGACUGUGCUGAAAGCUUCAGCUCAAGAAGCUGGAACUCCAAGUUAUAAAGAAAAGCAUUCCAGGUACCAGGUCCACACACCCUUUCUGUAUGCACUCAGUAACUGUGGCCGAGUUCAUGCAUGAAGAUUUGUAGGACCUGCAUUUUAGACAGGUAUUGCUCAAAUUUUAAAUGCAUAGGUCUACUCUUCAAAGUCUAAGACUGCCAAAAAUCUGAAAGGGAAAUCCAGGAGGAGUUUACAUAGCUAAGAUAGCCUUCAAUUUAGUGACCUCAGCCUCCUUGCAGAAUCAGUGAUGUGAAGAUGACAGAGGGGUUGCAAACCCCUUGUCAGGGAUGCUGUCAGCAGCAGGGAUGUUCCCUGAGGGCAGCCCCAGAGCCAGCAACAGUAGAUCCUGCUGGGCUAUGUCCUUCCCAACAGGGCAGUCCCAGGGGCCAGAGGCCUCUGGGCAUUCUCACUUGGCUGUCUUGCUUUAACCCAUAUUUCCCCCUACAUCCUCCUGCCAGAGGUCCAUUUGCAAGGACCAUGGGUGACUUUUCUGUCACUGCACAUAAAUUUAGUGAUGACUAAUAGACAUACUGGUCCUUAGGAAGGACACAACAGUGGGCACUGUAUCUUUACACUUUUUACACACUUUGCACAUCUUUUACACACUUUACACAAGGUAAAGCUUUUAGCUUUUUGUGUUACUGCUUUACCUGAUUGCCACCCUACUGGAUGUUAAAACUCCUUGCCAAAACUUGUAACUCCAAGGUGAGCAGGCCUGAGGCCUGUAGAAAGACACAUUCUGGUUUUGCCAGGAAGCAGUGAACUUUGAGAGACUAAAUUAAUUAAUGAUUUAGCAGGCUCUUGAGUGUAAAAUGCAACCAGUUGGAGCUCUGCCUCUCACUACCCUGGAGUACCUAUUCAGAGACAAGUGCACUGAGUGAUUUGUUGCUCAAAGAGAUCUGAUAACUGGGACAUGAAAAUCACUCUCACCUGCUCUGGAGAGGCUGAUGGAAACCAACAUGACAUGUAAGCAGAAAGGAUUUCUGUCACACAGCAAGGAUUAAAUGAAAACACUACACCUGCUGUAAUAAGUGGUCCUGUGCCAUUUGAGGCAUUUUUUUCAGGCUUCUUUCUCUAAUUCAGAAAUGGCCCUGAAUCACAAACCUGUACCUACAGCCAGGUGCUCAUGUAUAAGUGCACAAGUUGCAACCAGGAAUUCCUGUGGGAGCUGCAGGGCAUCUCACUUUGGCUGGCACGGACACUUUCCCACCCAGAAGUGACUUCCUGCAGAGCUCUGAGCUGGGUGACCUCUCAGUGUUUCUGUUGUCAGGUCUUCCUCACCCUCAUUAGGCUUUAAGCUAUGGAUGGACACCUUUCCUGCUCCAUGUUGGCUUGGAGACUUCU